This 253-nucleotide ribosomal RNA is filed under the name uncultured bacterium. RNAcentral's name for it is "partial 16S ribosomal RNA". It matches the Rfam family "Bacterial small subunit ribosomal RNA", at positions 524 to 776 of the family's 1533-position model. The record is from RNAcentral.
UACAGAGGUCCCAAGCGUUGUUCGGAUUCACUGGGCGUAAAGGGUGCGUAGGCGGUCGGGUAAGUCUGACGUGAAAUCUCCGGGCCUAACCCGGAAACUGCGUUGGAAACUGCCUGGCUAGAGGAAUGGAGGGGAGACUGGAAUACUUGGUGUAGCAGUGAAAUGCGUAGAUAUCAAGUGGAACACCAGUGGCGAAGGCGAGUCUCUGGACAUUUCCUGACGCUGAGGCACGAAGGUCAGGGGAGCAAACGGG